Molecule: long non-coding RNA, 3125 nt
Organism: Onychostruthus taczanowskii (white-rumped snowfinch)
Lineage: Eukaryota; Metazoa; Chordata; Aves; Passeriformes; Passeridae
Exons: 8
Source: RefSeq, a predicted model, not a curated record
AGUUUAAUUCUAUCUCAUUUGUUGGAAAACCUUUCUAUAAAAGCAAGACAUCAGUUUCUCCCUCAUAGUUGGGUUUUUAGUAGAAAUCCUGCUGUGAAGAUCAAGAGAGAGAAGAUGGACCUCUAAAAUGUGACUGGCCUCAGAAGCCUUCCCAUUUUGGGUGGAAAUGCAGUGCUACAGUGUUUGCCAGAAUGCACCAUAAUUCCAGUGUUCCAGGAGACGUUUCCUCUUGGCACUAAAGAUGGCCCAGGUCGUGGAUUACAUGAGAACUCCAAUGCAUAUUACUGAACUCCACUACUGUGAAUUCAGAUUGUAAUGGCUCAGACACAGUGUCUUCAUCCACCCAAGUGUUAGUCCCAAACGACUUGGUCUUGGCUGCUGGGUGGGUUUCAUGAAGCUUCCAUGAAACAUCUUCAAUCUGGGCAGUGGAUUUCUGCUCAGGUAGCACAUUGCUGAGCCAGGCUGUCUCUAGAAGCACUAAUCAUCCACAAAAUCACCACCAACUCUGCAAUAUUUUAGGCUGAUUGUGAGUCAAAUCUGUAUCUGCUGAGAAGUUAACUGAUGCACCCUCUAAUUAAGUCUCUGCAGCACCUUCCUCCUACAUAAAUGGGCUGGUGAAUUCCUGCUUGUUCCUGUGGCCACCCGUGCAACGGAGGGACCCAUCUGAGUGACAGUGACUAGAGUGUGAAACUUGAGAGCUGUGGCCUGAGGGUGGAAGGAGCUGUCUCUGCCCCAUGAGGCUCACCAAAAACAUUUCCUGAGUUAUGGAUGAGCAUUGCCUUACAAAACCCAGCCCUACACACUGAAAACUGUUCCAGUCUCAGCGCUGGCUCCUCAGUUUGUAAAGGUUUAUCUUAAUUCCACCAAGGUCUUGUUUGAGUUUGAAAAGCAAAAACAGCCAAAAGGAGAUUGUUUUGGAGAGAAGUGAUGGCCAACUUUGGAUAGCAGUCAAGGAAACCUCAGUGGGGUCAUGAUUCAAUUACAAGGAGCAGGGGCAGUAGGCUUGAUGUGAAGUCCACAGAAGUGAAGGGAUAAACCCUUAUCAGCUCUGGCCCAGCCCCUCACACAGCACACAGAGUCACUUAGGCUGAAAGAGGUAAACUGUUACAAGAUCUUCAAGGAACAAAGACUGAUUAAGGAUAAUCUUGUAGAAAAUGUUACAUUUUUUGGAUGUAUUUAACAUGGGAAAUGUUGGGUUGACAAGAAAAACAGCCUUUUGUAGCUGAGGAGGCAGCAGGAAAAGGAGUUGCCAAAAGAGCCGUCAAGACUCUCCAAGUAAUUUGAUGUGUAGAGAAAAUAUGUCAAGAUUAUUGCAACUGCAUAUAGUAUAAGUUUUUUAGAAGGAAGUCAGAUGCUCCACUACGCCUGGGAUGCCCACAGAGAUUACUCUGGCCUUAUCACUGCUUUUUUGGAAAAGAGUGAAGAUGAAUGGUGGGAAAGUGAGGACACUUCUUGACUUCUUCUCUUCUCUGCUUGUAGUGGAAAUCAGCCAAAAAUCCAGCUCAUAUGCCAAGAAAGCCCAAACGAAGAGAUGAGUGGAAAAUACCAGAUGCUUAAAUUUGUCUUGGAUUUUCUCAAAACUGCUAAGACUGGUUUUCUCCUUAAUUAGCCAAAUAAGGCAUGGAGUGCAUUUCUUUUUCAUGUACAGAUUUUUCUUGGAUCCUGUGGGUUAACCACCUCUAGAGCACUGCUGUCCCUGCCAGAGGAGGAGACAGAUGUGGCUUUCUUGGACAACAUGAAGAGGAGAGAAGUUUGCAGAGGACAUCCCAUCCUCCUCACCCUCACCCACUGCUGCCCUGCCAGGAUUCCCCCAAGACUGAAAUUCCUGAGACUGCUGUUGUCUGGAAGCCAGUUUACAUUUCUGUCCCGAGAAGGAAUUACUCUCAAGGCAUGAUUUUUUCCAACUAGACAAGAUUUAUUUUCAGUCCAAGAGUUGUCUUUUGUUCAGUGCUUAGUUUGUUGUGUCACUUGUAAUGACUACAGUAAUAUCUGGAAAAAGAGAUAACUAGAAAAGCUUGCAGCACUUGAUUAUUCUGCUCAGAAUAUCUGAUACAGCCCUUUCAGACAGCAGAUGUAAGUGGUAUGAAUGCAUACAAUUUCAUAGUAAUCUCAAUAUUCCAGUUAUUUCCAUAAUUUUAUACAAUAUACAGAUAUAUUAAUAUUAAUGUCACACUUAGAAAAAUGAAAUACAUGCAGGAUAGUUUAUGGUUUAAAACAAAUGGGUAUAAAGGUAAUGUUUAUAUUCAUAAUAUAUUAAAAUAAUAAUUUACUACUAAUAUUUAAAAUCCAUGUGUCAUAAUUUGGAAAAGAAACCCUACUUCAGAAUCUAAAAUAUUCCAAAAAUUUUAGGCUUCAUCACUGAUUUGAAGAUGCUUGUUAUGUAUUUUAUAUAUAUAUAUGCACAUAUAUAUACUCCUACACACACAAACAUAUAUGUAUGUAUACAUAUAUGUGUAUGUAUGUAUAUAUAUAUAUAAAAUAUAUUUGUUUCUCAGCGGGUUUUUUUAAACUACAGUCAGCCACCACAGAACUUCAGUGAAAGGAAGAAAACAGCCAUUUUCUGAGCAGGGGAAGUAAAUAUUUUCUUAUCCUUCAUGUGUUGUUACAAUAUCUUUAUAUCUGUGUGUUUAUUGAUAAAUCUUUCUUUUGCAGCUUCCUUUGUUCCCAAGCUUGGAUAAAAAAUUAUAACUACUUAAAAAAAUCUUAGAAUGUUGCAGUGCACUUUGUUUCACCUCAAAGGCUGAUUUAUGAAUUGCACAUGAAAGUGUUCCAUGUUUUCAUGUUAGUUUUUUAAGAUUUAAAUUUCCACAAAUAUUUACAACUACCCACUCUUUUCUCACAACUAAGAAGCAUAGAUAUAAAAAUCCACCCCCUCUGAUUUUCACACUCCUUAUCACAUAUUGAAUUAAAUUAGAAGGGAAAAUGGUAGAGAGAUUAAAUUGCAAUUAUAUUACUUUCUUCAAAUGAUCAUAAUUUGAUUUAAUAUCAAAUAAAAUAUUAAUAAAGUGCUAACUUUUCUUGGUGGGAAAUGCCAUUAAUGGAACAGUUUCCCAGGGAAACAGAAGCAAAGUGAUUAACUGUCCUUUUUGCUUCAGUAAUGAGAUCUUUCUAAAAUAAACAGUUUU